RNAcentral lists this non-coding RNA (102 nucleotides) under Anaerobacillus arseniciselenatis. RNAcentral describes it as "TPP sequence". It matches the Rfam family "TPP riboswitch aptamer (THI element)". Rfam says of the family: Vitamin B(1) in its active form thiamin pyrophosphate (TPP) is an essential coenzyme that is synthesised by coupling of pyrimidine and thiazole moieties in bacteria. Lineage: Bacteria; Bacillati; Bacillota; Bacilli; Caryophanales; Bacillaceae. The record is from Rfam by way of RNAcentral.
AUUCACUGCUAGGGGUGCUUGAAAAGCUGAGAGAGACAUUGGUCUUAACCCUUAUAACCUGAUCUAGAUCAUACUAGCGUAGGGAAGAAGUGUAAAAUUAUA